CUACGUCUACAGGAGAGGUUUGAGUCUGGACGUCAGGACGACGCUGGCGGCGUGCUUACACAUGCAAGUCGAACGGAAGGCCCUGCUUUUGUGGGUGCUCGAGUGGCGAACGGGUGAGUAACACGUGAGUAACCUGCCCUUGACUUUGGGAUAACUUCAGGAAACUGGGGCUAAUACCGGAUAGGAGCUCCUGCUGCAUGGUGGGGGUUGGAAAGUUUCGGCGGUUGGGGAUGGACUCGCGGCUUAUCAGCUUGUUGUGGGGUAGUGGCUUACCAAGGCUUUGACGGGUAGCCGGCCUGAGAGGGUGACCGGCCACAUUGGGACUGAGAUACGGCCCAGACUCCUACGGGAGGCAGCAGUGGGGAAUAUUGCACAAUGGGCGGAAGCCUGAUGCAGCAACGCCGCGUGCGGGCUGACGGCCUUCGGGUUGUAAACCGCUUUCGCCUGUGACGAAGCGUGAGUGACGGUAAUGGGUAAAGAAGCACCGGCUAACUACGUG
Molecule: ribosomal RNA, 499 nt
Filed under: uncultured Propionibacterium sp.
Lineage: Bacteria; Bacillati; Actinomycetota; Actinomycetes; Propionibacteriales; Propionibacteriaceae
Description: bacterial SSU rRNA
Rfam family: Bacterial small subunit ribosomal RNA
Source: RNAcentral